RNAcentral lists this ribosomal RNA (256 nucleotides) under uncultured bacterium. Its description in RNAcentral is "partial 16S ribosomal RNA". It matches the Rfam family "Bacterial small subunit ribosomal RNA", at positions 524 to 776 of the family's 1533-position model. The record is from RNAcentral.
UACGUAGGGGGCAAGCGUUUGUCCGGAAUCAUUGGGCGUAAAGAGCGCGUAGGCGGUCCGGUAAGUCCGCUCUGAAAGUCCGGGGGCUCAACCCCGGGAGGCGGGCGGAUACUGUCGGGCUAGAGUCCGGAAGAGGCGAGUGGAAUUCCUGGUGUAGCGGUGAAAUGCGCAGAUAUCAGGAGGAACACCGGUGGCGAAGGCGGGUCUCUGGGCCGAUGAUUGACGCUGAGGAGCGAAAGCGUGGGGAGCGAACAGG